GGUAUAUAUACAGCAAUUGUAAGCGUGCCAUAGUCAAAUUCAAGGGACAUGAUGAGAAACAUCUACAUCUGUUUAACCGUUCUUUUGUCGCUACAUCUAACACAAGCACACGCAACUUGGGAUUACAUCUUUUAUAAGAGGGAUUCCGAGAUGCCAAAACAAGAUAGAGGGGUUUUGAUUGCGAGGGUUCCCAAGUGGCGAUGACAAGAUAGAGGGGUUAUGAUUGCGGGGGAAUCAGAGAGGUCAAAACAGGAUAGAGGAGUCAUGAUGGCGAGAAAAGCCAGAUUGUCGUCCAUAGUAGACCCCUGGUGGAGACAAUGAAGUUAGCUGACAUGUCGGGCGUCCGGGGUACAAAUUCAUAUUUUUUAGAUGUUGAUUGCCCAAAUGCUAUUUACUGGAUAUUUACAAUAAAUUCAUAUUUACAAUGCACUGUGUCAACCAGUGAAUUUGUAUGUGCUUUAAUUAUUCUAACAAAAACAAAAUAUUUUAAACCAAAUUUUAAAUAUCAAUAGAUACAUUUAUAGAGGAAUAAUACAUAUGGAAAUUAUCGACAAUAUGAAUGCAUGAGAUACAAAGUACCACAUUUUAAAAAGUGUUGGCAUUAAAUAUUAAUCAUUUAAGUUCUUGUGUAAAGUGAUGUCUAAUUUAAGAAGAAUUAUUGAUAUCGGUAUACCUGCCAACGUUAAAAUGAUUUGCAUAAAAAGGUAUUUAUCCUCUUAUCGUUACAAUUUAAAAUAUCUACCACUCAUACACAAUUUUGUUUAGAAAUCGUCUUAAUUUCUGAAUGUAAUAUGGGAAAUUAA
Saccostrea cuccullata (small rock oyster) is the source of this 803-nucleotide long non-coding RNA. RefSeq lists it as uncharacterized. The transcript has 6 exons. NCBI's taxonomy places the organism in Eukaryota, Metazoa, Mollusca, Bivalvia, Ostreida, Ostreidae. The record is from RefSeq and is a predicted model, not a curated record.